Molecule: transfer RNA, 68 nt
Filed under: Campanulotes compar (small pigeon louse)
Lineage: Eukaryota; Metazoa; Arthropoda; Insecta; Psocodea; Philopteridae
Description: tRNA-Leu
Source: RNAcentral
UCUCCAUUGGCAGAAUAGUGCACUAGACUUAGGAUUUAGAUAUGUAAAAUUUGAUUUUACAUGGGGAA